AUUGAACGAUAGCGGGAUGCCUUACACAUGCAAGUCGAACGGAGUGGCGACCGGGUGAGUAAUGUAUCGGAACGUGCCCAGUAGCGGGGGAUCACUACGCGAAAGCGUAGCUAAUACCGCCUACUAUUGGAUCGGCCGAUAUCGGAUUAGCUAGUUGGUGGGGUAACGGCUAACCAAGGCGACGAUCCGUAGCUGGUUGGAGAGGACGACCAGCCACACUGGUACUGAGACACUGCCCAGACUCCUACGGGAGGAAGCAGUGGGGAAUGUUGGACAAUGGGGGACACCCUGAUGCAGCCAUCCGGCUUGUGCGAUGAAGGCCUUAGGGUUGUAAAGCACUUUUGGCAGGAAAGCGGUACCUGCAGAAUAAGCACCGGCUAACUACGUGCCAGCAGCCGCGGUAAUAC
This 407-nucleotide ribosomal RNA is filed under the name uncultured bacterium. RNAcentral's name for it is "partial 16S ribosomal RNA". It matches the Rfam family "Bacterial small subunit ribosomal RNA", at positions 30 to 526 of the family's 1533-position model. The record is from RNAcentral.